UACGUAGGGGGCAAGCGUUGUCCGGAAUCAUUGGGCGUAAAGAGCGUGUAGGCGGUCCGGUAAGUCGGUUGUGAAAGUCCAGGGCUCAACCCUGGGAUGCCGAUCGAUACUGUCGGACUAGAGUUCGGAAGAGGCGAGUGGAAUUCCCGGUGUAGCGGUGAAAUGCGCAGAUAUCGGGAGGAACACCAAUGGCGAAGGCAGCUCGCUGGGACGUGACUGACGCUGAGACGCGAAAGCGUGGGGAGCAAACAGG
RNAcentral lists this ribosomal RNA (253 nucleotides) under uncultured bacterium. RNAcentral's name for it is "partial 16S ribosomal RNA". It matches the Rfam family "Bacterial small subunit ribosomal RNA", at positions 524 to 776 of the family's 1533-position model. The record is from RNAcentral.